UUAUAGAUAAGGAAAAUAAGGCAAACAAGGUUAAGUGACUUGACUAGAGUCACAUAACUAAGGUGAGAUUUGAACUCUGAAAGAUGGGACAUCUUGGCACAGGCACAGUACUCCACUGAGCAACAAACCACCCUGUUUCCAGGAACUUAUUGGUGACUCUUCCUUAGAAUAAAGAAAAAUGUUGUGUCAUAAAAAAAGAAAGUGAACCAAACCACUAUCAUAGAGGAAUGCAAGAAUGGAAGCAUCACUCACAACUGGGAGGAACCAAGGAAUAUUGACAACCAGAUGAUCUCAAGGCAUGAGAGAGGUACAAGAAUUUUGGAAGAUACCCACAGGGACCUGUGAUGCUAAGUGGAUGCUCCACUUUGUGAAAGGAUCCAAACCAUCCUGCUUUCAUUCCCUUCAAGGCUCUGUUCUACUUUGUUUGGAUUUCAAAUGCCAGGUACCUUCAUUUCAUACUCCCUUCCCAUUAACAUACAGUAGAC
This 485-nucleotide long non-coding RNA is filed under the name Monodelphis domestica (gray short-tailed opossum). RNAcentral describes it as "lncRNA (ENSMODG00000043524.1)". Lineage: Eukaryota; Metazoa; Chordata; Mammalia; Didelphimorphia; Didelphidae. The record is from RNAcentral.